CUACGGGGCGCUGCAGACGAGAAAACUUUGCAAUGUGCGAAAGCACGACAAGGUUAAUCCGAGUGGUUUCUGCUAAAGGAACCUUUUGUCGGUCCUAGAAACACCGAUGAAUAAGGGGUGGGCAAGUUCUGGUGUCAGCCGCCGCGGUAAAACCAGCACCUCAAGUGGUUAGGAUGAUUAUUGGGCCUAAAGCAUCCGUAGCCGGCUCGGUAAGUUUUCGGUUAAAUCUGUACGCUCAACGUACAGGCUGCCGGGAAUACUGCAGAGCUAGGGGGUGGGAGAGGUAGACGGUACUCGGUAGGAAGGGGUAAAAUCCUUUGAUCUAUUGAUGGCCACCUGUGGCGAAGGCGGUCUACCAGAACACGUCCGACGGUGAGGGAUGAAAGCUGGGGGAGCAAACCGGAUUAGAUACCCGCGUAGUC
This 422-nucleotide ribosomal RNA is filed under the name uncultured archaeon. RNAcentral's name for it is "partial 16S ribosomal RNA". It matches the Rfam family "Archaeal small subunit ribosomal RNA", at positions 323 to 746 of the family's 1478-position model. The record is from RNAcentral.